GAUGAACGCUGGCGGCGUGCCUAAUACAUGCAAGUCGAGCGAACGGACGAGAAGCUUGCUUCUCUGAUGUUAGCGGCGGACGGGUGAGUAACACGUGGAUAACCUACCUAUAAGACUGGGAUAACUUCGGGAAACCGGAGCUAAUACCGGAUAAUAUUUUGAACCGCAUGGUUCAACAGUGAAAGACGGUCUUGCUGUCACUUAUAGAUGGAUCCGCGCUGCAUUAGCUAGUUGGUAAGGUAACGGCUUACCAAGGCAACGAUGCAUAGCGGACCUGAGAGGGUGAUCGGCCAAACUGGAACUGAGACACGGUCCAGACUCCUCGGGGAGGCAGCAGUAGGGAUCCUUCCGCAAUGGGCGAAAGCCUGACGGAGCAACGCCGCGUGAGUGAUGAAGGUUUUCGGAUCGUAAACCUCUGUUAUUAGGGAAGAACAAAUGUGUAAGUAACUGUGCACCUCUUGACGGUACCUAAUCAGAAAGCCACGGCUAACUACGUG
This 497-nucleotide ribosomal RNA is filed under the name uncultured bacterium. RNAcentral describes it as "partial 16S ribosomal RNA". It matches the Rfam family "Bacterial small subunit ribosomal RNA", at positions 28 to 507 of the family's 1533-position model. The record is from RNAcentral.